CUUGAGGGGGAAAGUGGGGGAUCGCAAGACCUCACGUUAUUCGAGCGGCCGACGUCUGAUUAGCUAGUUGGUGGGGUAAAGGCCUACCAAGGCGACGAUCAGUAGCGGGUCUGAGAGGAUGAUCCGUCACACUGGAACUGAGACAAGGUCCAGACUCCUACGGGAGGCAGCAGUGGGGAAUUUUGGACAAUGGGGGCAACCCUGAUCCAGCCAUUCCGCGUGAGUGAAGAAGGCCUUCGGGUUGUAAAGCUCUUUCAGCCGGAACGAAACGGUAUUCCUUAAUACGGGAUGCUAAUGACGGUACCGGCAGAAGAAGCACCGGCUAACUACGUGCCAGCAGCCGCGGUAAUACGUAGGGUGCGAGCGUUAAUCGGAAUUACUGGGCGUAAAGCGUGCGCAGGCGGAUUGUUAAGCAAGAUGUGAAAUCCCCGGGCUUAACCUGGGAAUGGCAUUUUGAACUGGCAGUCUAGAGUGUGUCAGAGGGGGGUGGAAUUCCACGUGUAGCAGUGAAAUGCGUAGAUAUGUGGAGGAACACCAAUGGCGAAGGCAGCCCCCUGGGAUAACACUGACGCUCAUGUACGAAAGCGUGGGUAGCAAACAGGAUUAGAUACCCUGGUAGUCCACGCCCUAAACGAUGUCAACUGGUUGUUGGGGGAGUGAAAUCCCUUAGUAACGAAGCUAACGCGUGAAGUUGACCGCCUGGGGAGUACGGUCGCAAGAUUAAAACUCAAAGGAAUUGACGGGACCCGCACAAGCGGUGGAUGAUGUGGAUUAAUUCGAUGCAACGCGAAAAACCUUACCUACCCUUGACAUGUCCAGAAUCCUGCAGAGAUGCGGGAGUGCCCGAAAGGGAAUUGGAACACAGGUGCUGCAUGGCUGUCGUCAGCUCGUGUCGUGAGAUGUUGGGUUAAGUCCCGCAACGAGCGCAACCCUUAUCAUUAGUUGCUACGCAAGGGCACUCUAAUGAGACUGCCGGUGACAAACCGGAGGAAGGUGGGGAUGACGUCAAGUCCUCAUGGCCCUUAUGGGUAGGGCUUCACACGUCAUACAAUGGUCGGUACAGAGGGUUGCCAAGCCGCGAGGUGGAGCCAAUCCCAGAAAGCCGAUCGUAGUCCGGAUUGUUCUCUGCAACUCGAGAGCAUGAAGUCGGAAUCGCUAGUAAUCGCGGAUCAGAAUGUCGCGGUGAAUACGUUCCCGGGUCUUGUACACACCGCCCGUCACACCAUGGGAGUGGAAUCUGCCAGAAGUAGGUAGCCUAACCGCAAGGAGGGCGCUUACCACGGUGGGUUUCAUGACUGGGGUGAAGUCGUAACAAGGUA
This 1319-nucleotide ribosomal RNA is filed under the name metagenome. RNAcentral describes it as "bacterial SSU rRNA". It matches the Rfam family "Bacterial small subunit ribosomal RNA", at positions 193 to 1498 of the family's 1533-position model. The record is from RNAcentral.